AGCCGGCCCCGCCCACGCGCGGGAGCGGGUGCCCGGAGCCUGCCUCCUUCGCAGUUCUCGCUGGGCGCUGCUGCGGGCACGUGGGCCCUGCCCUGAGCGCCUCACACCAACCCGAGGCGGGAGGAGGAGGAGGGCGUCCUGAGAGUGCCCUGUCAAGCAAAAACUCUAAGAGAAAAAGCCAGGCUGACCCAGGAGAGGCCUGAGGGAGGGGAGUGGAGAUGAGGCUCGGCCACCCCAGGGCUGCCCGGUGCUGGGGGAGAAGACGCUGAGAAGAGGAGGAGAAUGGGGAGGAAGGGACGGACACCCCAAGAGCACGCAGGCUGAAGACUGGGCUGCCUCCCCGGAGACCGACCAGCCUGCCCUAGGAAUCAUAUUCUGCACUGGAAGAAGCCUUGAGAGUUGCCUGGCCCAGAGGUCACAAACCAGAGCCCUGCGGGCUGAGCUCUACCCACAGUGCAGUUAUCAGUCACCGUGUAGCGGUCACCGACGGCCACAUUAAUGCUGCGUAACAAACAGCCUCAGAGCCCACCGUUGUGUGUCGCCAGGCGGUGCUGUCCAUGCCCAGGCCCCAAGAAAGGCAGGGGAAAGGCUGAGCUGGGCCUGUGCCCUCUGUCCCUUCCUAUGAGCCUCUAGAGCAAAGCUUUGCUGAAGGCUGUUGUCUGAACCAAGGCCACAGAGGAAGCACGCUCCCUGCUCCCACUUUGCCCCUCGUACCCGCCUGAGGGCAUCUUAAUUAAGCCUUCCUUCCCCACGCUCAGAAAAAUAAAUACUUGGGAGACAGCAGA
This is a long non-coding RNA of Homo sapiens (human), 785 nucleotides long. Lineage: Eukaryota; Metazoa; Chordata; Mammalia; Primates; Hominidae. The record is from Ensembl.